RNAcentral lists this ribosomal RNA (492 nucleotides) under uncultured bacterium. RNAcentral describes it as "partial 16S ribosomal RNA". It matches the Rfam family "Bacterial small subunit ribosomal RNA", at positions 29 to 507 of the family's 1533-position model. The record is from RNAcentral.
AGUGAACGCUGGCGGUAGGCCUAACACAUGCAAGUCGAACGGCAGCACAGUAAGAGCUUGCUCUUACGGGUGGCGAGUGGCGGACGGGUGAGGAAUACAUCGGAAUCUACUUUUUCGUGGGGGAUAACGUAGGGAAACUUACGCUAAUAACGCAUACGACCUACGGGUGAAAGCAGGGGAUCUUCGGACCUUGCGCGAUUGAAUGAGCCGAUGUCGGAUUAGCUAGUUGGCGGGGUAAAGGCCCACCAAGGCGACGAUCCGUAGCUGGUCUGAGAGGAUGAUCAGCCACACUGGAACUGAGACACGGUCCAGACUCCUACGGGAGGCAGCAGUGGGGAAUAUUGGACAAUGGGCGCAAGCCUGAUCCAGCCAUACCGCGUGGGUGAAGAAGGCCUUCGGGUUGUAAAGCCCUUUUGUUGGGAAAGAAAAGCAGCAGGUUAAUACCCCGCUGUUCUGACGGUACCCAAAGAAUAAGCACCGGCUAACUUCGUG